RNAcentral lists this unclassified non-coding RNA (270 nucleotides) under Glomus sp. Its description in RNAcentral is "partial contains 5.8S ribosomal RNA and internal transcribed spacer 2". The stretch from base 1 to 65 matches the Rfam family "5.8S ribosomal RNA", at positions 84 to 154 of the family's 154-position model. The record is from RNAcentral. Lineage: Eukaryota; Fungi; Glomeromycota; Glomeromycetes; Glomerales; Glomeraceae.
GUGAAUCAUCGAAUUUUUGAACGCACAUUGCACUCUCUUCUGAUAGUAUGCCUGUUUGAGGGUCAGCCUAAAAAAAACCGACAUCGUCGCUGUUUCGUGGUGGCGUUCGUCGGCAAUUGGGUUAUCUUUAAUCUUUGGUUUAAGCGGCUUAGUAGUUUCUUUACGAUUCCAUUUACUUUUCUCAGAUUUCUUUCUUUACACGUUUAAGGUAACGAUUUUAUUAGGCGUGGUGGUCAUAUCAGAUCAUGUCCAUAAUUUUUCGUUAACUUA